Molecule: long non-coding RNA, 815 nt
Organism: Macadamia integrifolia
Lineage: Eukaryota; Viridiplantae; Streptophyta; Magnoliopsida; Proteales; Proteaceae
Exons: 3
Source: RefSeq, a predicted model, not a curated record
AAAAAAUUGCUAAACAUCUCUCUCCAUAACUGUGGCUCACCCUUUUUAAUUGGCCAUUUGCGAAACGUUUCUCUCUCAAAUAAUCACUCUACCUAAAGUGAAACUGGACACCUCCUUCCCACAUCUCCCACACGGAAGGAGUAGGAACAGAACAGAGAGACUCUUCUCUUUAAAACAUAGCGCGUCGCUGUCUCUGGUCACCACCAACUAACCCAGUGAUCUCCCGCAUGAUCUCUUCAAUUGAUUCAAACUUCUGUCAAUUGGGGAGCCAGUGACGUUUUUGUUGCUACUACUUUCAUCCUAAAUUGUUAUAUUGGUAUUUAAAAAAGUUGUAACCAAUCAUUUUUUAUUUGGUUUCACAGGCAGAGAUUUCAGAAGCAAUGUUUUUUUUUUUGUAGAAGACUGGAUCGGAGAUGCAGAAGGAGAAAAUGAGAGAGCACUUCGAAAAUAAGGCCAGAUCUUAAAGGCCGUCAUCAUCUGAACGAGUCAAGUACAAUGCUACUACCCGACGGACACACCUUUCUCCUCCUACCAUCAUCAACAUCAAGUCAUUUCUUACUACCGGUACUCUACCGCUUACAUUGCCGUUUAUUAUGGUUACAACCCGGUCAAUAAAUUCGUUGGAUUAAUUUUCACCCAAAAAAAAACCUUGGAUUGGUAUAAACUCCUCCACCAAUGACAAGCGAAGGGAUGCAGGGUUGAUUGAUGAUCCACAUGGUGGUAAUUGUGUAAUUUUCAGUUUUUAUUUUAAUAUUAAUGUGGGAUCCAUGGCUAACAUAGAGACUAACGUGACUAAAUGAUGAUUGAAUGGUGAU